UGACUCUUGAUUUCUGAUCAGGUCAUGAUCUCUCUCUCUCUCUCAAAUAGAAAAAUAAAUAAAAUCUUUAAAAAAAAAGAUAAAAAAUUUAAUAUAAAGGAGGAUGUGAUCAUUUAAAGGCUGUGUCUUUUCAUCCAUAAAACUAUAACAAUUUAAAAACUUUCAUCUCUUUAUUACACAGGUACACUUAAUUAUCACAUUUAAAAACACAGAAAAAAAUUUAAAAAGAACAAUUUUCAACAAACUCUAUGUAUUCUAGUGAUUGAACAAGAAAUUAUAGAGUUUUAAGGAGAGCAACCAAAGGUAACUCUGAGAACAAAAGAUUUGCAAGAAGCAUACUACAAAGAAGACUUCUUCUAUCUAUUUGCUUAACUUUUUUUCUAACCUUUUCUUUUUCCUUUUUUUUUUUUUUUCCUUUCUGUCAGAAAAAAGAAAUACUAAGCUUGGGGAGACAUUUUAGACAGAACAAAGUGAUAUGAUGCUUCUUGUUAAUUUGCUCAAGAAAUGACAGCCAGUAGCUUUCCUUCAUUAUAUCAAUAGUGAAGCAUACCAGGAAUGAUCUUAGACUUCCGCUGGACGCCAUGAGACUUAAGCCAAGAAGAUCUCAAAAGCCUUUACAAGACAAACUGGGAAGAGGAAAAGUAUUAGAUAUUGGCUUUUGUAUGUGCCAUUUCAUCCACCUGACAUAUCCCUCCUUCCCAAUGGAACUAUCACCCUCCUUCAAGGCCCAGUUCAAAUAUUAUAUUCCUCCAUGAAGUCUUGUCGUGUCUACCAAUUGUAAGUUUCUUUUGCCCUUCAUUUCAACAGUGUUAACUCAAGGGUGUCUGGGUGGCUCAGUC
This 839-nucleotide long non-coding RNA is filed under the name Mustela putorius furo (domestic ferret). RNAcentral's name for it is "lncRNA (ENSMPUG00000026706.1)". The record is from RNAcentral. Lineage: Eukaryota; Metazoa; Chordata; Mammalia; Carnivora; Mustelidae.